Mercenaria mercenaria is the source of this 5794-nucleotide long non-coding RNA. RefSeq lists it as uncharacterized. The transcript has 2 exons. The record is from RefSeq and is a predicted model, not a curated record. NCBI's taxonomy places the organism in Eukaryota, Metazoa, Mollusca, Bivalvia, Venerida, Veneridae.
UCGGUUCACAAAUCCCUCACGGGUAUAUGACAUAUCAUACAGGCAUUUUCCUUGUAAAAUAACUAUAACUUGUAAUAAUGGCAAACUGACUUUUAUCAUUAAGUGAUUGAAUUUGAAUUGCAUUUCAUCAGUUGUCUUCCUAUUGUUGUAUGAGAUACAUGUUUGCAGUUCAUUUCGUUUUCCUCCUAUUAGAUUGAUCCGGAAAUAAAACGAUAUUUUGAAUAUGCAAAUCAGUAUUAUUAAAAUCAUAAUGCAAUCUCAAAAAUCGAUAAAAUGUUGGUUGAGGAAGUUUCACGCCUGAAAGCUUUGGACAGAAUACACAAUAAUUAUCACGUUAUUCCGAUAUACCGUAGAAAUGUUUUAUCUUAUGAUUAUAUCUAUCUGAGUGUAUAGAAAUUGUAUUUCAUUCGCAAGGUGGUACCAAUGAUUUGAAUAAAUACCCAUGUAGGAUUGGUACUUAAGAUCAUAUUACUACACCAAAUUAAAUUCAAAUGCACUGGUAUCAUAUUGCGGAAGACAUUAGUUAUAAAUCAAAAUUUGGUUUUAAAUUUCAUUGAGGUACAUUUGUAAAUCAACAUUCAUGCUAUGUUUCUAAAUGUGUUAUAUGAUUUAAAAGUACAAUAUCAAAUACUACUGUAAAAUACCCGCCAAGAAUUCUAAAAAUAACGCUUUGAGGUUCGCUGUAACCCUUAUUAUUUAAAUGCAUUUUAGUAUUGGAACAUGGAAGUGUGUUCCUUAUAUCAGAUGAUUUGCUAAAAUAAUUAUAAAGGUUUCUUGUUUUGUGUGAGUAAUCGGCGAAAGUCCCCACCCGGACCUGAUGGAUGGAACUACUUUGGCGAAUCCCCAUCAAAUACUUGCGAGUUAGAUGUCUUUAAAACGUACUGAAACAAUAGGCUAAACAUUUUUCAAACAAUCCCAGAAACGUUAUAAUUAUUUUGAAUAUGAAAGUGGGCUAACAGGUUUGACAUUUAAAUUGCACGGGAGAUCGCCAUGAUUUUCAUCCUGACUGGACACUGGAUUUAAAUAAAUUCAGAAGAAUUUUUUUUGCUUUGUGUAACCUUUGCUGUUAUAAUAAUAUUUCAAUAUUAUUUCUGUCAAUGGUUAUGUUUUCAUGAAUAAUUUUUCUGACAAGUCAAUACUUAGACACAGGAAAUGUCUCACGUUUAUUAUACUGAGUAAGUUUAUUUUAACUUUCAAAUAAAUUCCAAGAUCUGUUUGACUUUACUGUUCAAAUAUUAUCGCAAAGUCAGGAUUUGAACCAAUUGCUUGCGAACUUUUGGUAAAACUAAUCGAGUAUCUAUAUUUAGAUAUACUUUUGUAAAGGAACCGAUAGUCAUAUAUUCACCUAGUCCUUCACCGGAGGACACAAGGUCUUGCAUUUUAUGAUAUACACCAGCUUCUUAUGCCUGUGGUGUAUUAUAAACAAAACACAAAGGAGCCGGUAGGUAACAAAUAUUAUAAUUAUGCAUGAGGCAAGUGUUUUAUCGCUUCAAUGUAGCGACGAUAAUACUUCCUGUUUGCAUGAGGUAAGUUUUUAAGUGUCUGUCUCCAUCGCUUUCAGACAUAGUUAUGAUAAUAUUUGCAUUAGAAAGUGUUUAGUCUUCAAAUGUAGAGACGAUACUGUAUAUCUACGAGGCAAUCGUUAAGUGUUUACCUUCAUUGCUUUAAAAAAGUGAGAAUAAUGCUUUUUAGCUCGACUAUACGAAGUAUAAGGAGAGCUAUCCUACUCGCCCCGGCGUCGGCGUCGGCGUCUUUCCGCGUCCCCACCUUGGUUAAAGUUUUGGUGCACUUUCUCUUUUUUCAACUUAUCUCUGUAAUUACUUGAUGGAUUUGAUUCAAACUUGAAAUACUUAUUCCUCAUCAUCAUCCACAUCAUCUGACAUAAGGGCCAUAACUCUGGCACCAAUAUUUCAUGAAUUAGCCCCCCUUUUCACUUAGAUUUUCAGUUUAAAGUUUUGAUGCACUUUCACUCUAUCUCUGUUAUUACUGAAUGGAUUUGAUUCAAACUUAAAAUAUUUGUUCAACAUCGACACCCACAUCAUAUGACACAAGGUGCAUAACUCUGGCACCAUUUUUUCAUGAAUUAUUCCCCCUUUUUACUUAGAAUUUCAGGUUAAAGUUUUGGUGCACUUUCACUCUACCUCUGUUAUUACUGAAUAGAUUUGAUUCAAACUUAAAAUAGUUGUUCAGCAUCAUCACCCACAUCAUAUGACACAAGAUGCUUAACUCUGGCACAGUUUUUCAUGAAUUAUUCCCCUUUUUACUUAGAAUUUCAGGUUAAAGUUUUGGUGCACUUUCACUCUAUCUCUGUUAUUACUAAAUGGAUCUGAUUCAAACUUAAACAAUUGUUCAAUAUCUUUACCCUUAUCAUAUGAUGCAAGGUGCAUAACUCUGGCACCAAUCUUUUAUUAUUUAUUCCCCCUUUUUACUUAGAAUUUUAGGUUAAAGUUUUGAUGCACUUUCACUCUGUCUUUGUUAUAACUGAAUGGAUUUGAUUCAAACUUAAAACAGUUGUUCAACAUCAUCACCCACACUAUAUGACACAAGCAGCAUAACUCUGGCACCAAUAUUUUAUGAAUUAUGUCCCUUUUUGCUUAGGAUGUACUUAUAUAGUGUUUUGAUACAUUUUAUCUUUACCUCUCUUAUUACUUAAAGUUGAUAUUUUUGACAUAGACUCAGGCUAUUGUGCAAUAUCUUCAUCUACAAUUGGAGUCAUUAAACAUUCCAGUGAUAGCUCUAGUUUCCUCAGAUAUGCCCAGUUUCACUAUCCAGCAUCGAAAAAGUCGAGCACGCUGUCUCCUGUGACAGCUCUUGUUUUUUUUUGCACGAGGAAAGUGUUUAAGUGUCUGUCUUUAUCGCUUUGUUAUAGUGACGAAAAUAUUUUAUAUUUAUAUGAGGUAAGUGUUUACUGUCUGUAUUCAUCACUUCAAAUUUUUGUUUCACGCCUUCUCUGCAUUUAUCACUAUUUAACUAUAAUGGCAAUAAUACUUGUUACUUGCAGAGGUAAGUGAUAACUUUCUGUCUUCACCGCUGCAAACAUAUUGACUACAAUACUUGUUAUUUGCACGAGGGAAUUGUUUUGGUGUCUGUGUUGUGUGUCAUCAUCGUUUCUAUGUAGUGUCAAUUAUAUUUGCUACUUUCACGCGAGGUAAAUGUCUUAGUGUCUGUCUUCAUCGCUUUAAUAUGGUUGCGACAAUACUUGCAACUUGCAUGAGGAAAUUGUUUUAGUGUCUGUCUUACAUCGCUUUAACUACAUUGACUAUAAUACCAUUGUUUUUGCAUGAGGUAAGUGACUGUCUUCAUUGCACUAGAUAUAGUGACGAUAACACUUGAUAUCUGGAUGAUGAAAGUGGUGUUGCAAGUGCUCCUAUUAUUGUGACGAGGACACAUUAAUUUCAUGCGGUUACUGAUUAUUCGCACGCGUUCUGCAAAGCAAAGCACUCAAAUGCCGGAAGAGGAAGUAAAUUCUCAGAUACACCAGAACAGAGAGGCUCAGGCCCAACAAGAAAUUGUGACACCUCACCAGAGUCCAACUAACAGAACAAAUAGCGAACAUGAACACGAAGAUAGAGGGAUAAUUAUCUUCAGUAUUAGGCAAUGGUUCGGUAUUUCCUUGCUAAGGAACCCUUACAAUACCUUCCGAAACCCGUCUGAGCCUCCACCAUAUGAUGCUGCAUGUGCUCCUCCACCAACAUAUGAGGAGACAGAAGGGGUUAGCAGAUCCACAAGAGAAACUGCUGAAGUUACCUGUGGGGAAAGGUUAGAGAUACCAGUUGAUUCGCCACCAUCAUAUACUGUUUAAAAGCGAGGAAGUUUAUAUGUGUAUGCUAAUCGUUAGUUAACGUUGCUUCAAAUCUACUGUUAAUAAAAAUAUAAAAAUGUUGUCAUUUUACUAAUCUGUUAAGAAAGUAUUGAUUGCUGUGGAGAAUCUGGCGUUUGCAGUACCAAAUUGAGUUCAAACAGUGUAAACUUGAUGUAUGACAUUUAGACAAAAACAUACUUGGAAUGUUAUAUUUAUGUAAACAUUUAAAACAGUUUUUAAGAAUUAGUGUCUGUAUAAAUUUUUCGCAUGCCUCUGGUGAGUAAAUGUUCUGGCGAUUAAUAUGGUGUACAAUAUUUCAUAAAUCUAUAUCUAAGGAUACACUAAGGAAUGAAUUGGCAUUUUUUUUGAUCAUCUUUUGUUUUUUAUUUUAUAUAUUAAACUAAUUAUACUUUCCUCUAUCAAAUGCCAAAAAGAUUAAUUUAAAAGUUCAAAUAUAAAACAUUUAUUUGAUGAAACUGCAUGAUAAACAGUAAACAUUUGACACGUGUUUAUCACACACCUUACUGAAAAGAACAACAAGGCUAUAAAUUUAGUCACUGUAUUUUUCGACCAUCAUCUUAGCAUUUGAUUUUAUGGUCAUCUAAUGCUCUAGAGGGGGUGUUAAUUGAAGAUAUGUUGCUCUGAUGUAACACAUAUUAUAUGGGUGAUUUUUGUCACGGAUUUUGACUGGCUGUCUUGGUCAAGAGGAAAUAAGUGUUGUAAUAAUGUUCAAACAGUCUAAUUCAUUGGUAGAAAAAAGGAAGUUUAGUUUUUGAUGAAGGCGGAGUCCAAGGAUAAAGUUCAUAUAACACAUUUCCGUCUUUUUCUCAGAACAGAAAUUCACAACUUGAUGAAGUGUUUGAAGUGAUUCAAUUCCGUUAUUUAUGAAGGACAUUGCAUUAAGAUUGGCAAUCUAUUUCUUUAAAGGGUGGUCUAUAAAAGAGUAUCACAGUUUUGUAAUAAACUAAUCCAUUCUUGAAUCAUAUCACUUUUAAUUGACUUUGGAAGGAAUCAGAGACCCAAAAAUAGUUUUGUUCAGUGUAACUCUUUUUUUUCUGACAAUUUAGGGACAAUUUGUGAUGCACGUUGGUAGUUUGGACAACCACACAAAGUUUGGCUCAUUUGACGUACAGAUAAGAUAGUUGAAUCUGUUUGAAGAUAACAAUAGAGUUUUUACAUAUUUUGUUAUCUAAACAUAAUCGUGAUGGCAUUGCACAAAAUCUUAUAUGAAAAGUAUCAUGGUAUAGCUUAAUCUUUCCCCUUCAUUUUGGUAUGUUACAUAACAUGUCUUUUCUUUGGAAAUAUGGAAAAAAAUAUGUUUAAGCACGGCACCCAAUCACUCCUUUGUGUUAGAUUAUAUGUCACACACUGUCUCCUCUUUGUAGUAUUUACUCUUCGGUUCUGAUACGGGAACAAUAAUUGAACUUUUAAUAUUCACUGUUUGGCUUUUCUCAUUAUCUAAUCUUAGGCGGGAGCAAUAAUAUGGCUUGUAGUACUCUCUGUUCGCGUGUACCCAUAGUGUAUUGAUAUUAGGCGGGAACAAUAAUAUGACCUGUAGUAUUUACCAUUCGGUUGUUCUCAUGAUAUUAAAUGAUUAUAUCAAUCUUAGGCUGGAACAAUGAUAUGCAUUUGUCGUCGGGCUGCUUAGUAGUAAUAUACAAGCUCGGUUGGCCGAUAUUUUGUUUACAUUCAGGGACAGGCACGACACAAACAAAACGUUAUAAUGAGGUUUUAACAAAACACAUGUCAGACGCAAUGUAUAACUUCCAGUUAUACAUAUGAUGUUUCAAAGACACUUGAUUACCUGUAAAUUCUGUAAAUUAAUUAUAUAUUAUAAUAUAUUAUUACAAAAAAUGACAUUGCGUUGCAACACAAAAAUGGUUCAAAAUAUAGCAGACAUUGAUCAAUCGGUUGUAAUUGGGUAAUGAAAUUAAUAUGUUUACUAAUAGAUGAAUUAUACGGUGUAAGGGAAAUAAAUCUUUGUAAAACCUG